AACGAACGCUGGCGGCAGGCCUAACACAUGCAAGUCGAGCGCCCCGCAAGGGAGCGGCGGACGGGUGAGUAACGCGUGGGAACGUACCCUUUGCUACGGAAUAGCCUCGGGAAACUGGGAGUAAUACCGUAUGUGCCCUUCGGGGGAAAGAUUUAUCGGCAAAGGAUCGGCCCGCGUUGGGUUAGGUAGUUGGUGGGGUAAUGGCCUACCAAGCCGACGAUCCAUAGCUGGUUUGAGAGGAUGAUCAGCCACACUGGGACUGAGACACGGCCCAGACUCCUACGGGAGGCAGCAGUGGGGAAUCUUAGACAAUGGGCGCAAGCCUGAUCUAGCCAUGCCGCGUGAGCGAUGAAGGCCUUAGGGUUGUAAAGCUCUUUCAGUGGGGAAGAUAAUGACUGUACCCACAGAAGAAGCCCGGCUAACUCCGUG
RNAcentral lists this ribosomal RNA (429 nucleotides) under uncultured bacterium. Its description in RNAcentral is "bacterial SSU rRNA". It matches the Rfam family "Bacterial small subunit ribosomal RNA", at positions 29 to 507 of the family's 1533-position model. The record is from RNAcentral.